GACGAACGCUGGCGGCGUGCUUAACACAUGCAAGUCGAACGGUGAACCUCUUCGGAGGAGAUCAGUGGCGAACGGGUGAGUAACACGUGGGCAACCUGCCCCCGGCUCUGGGAUAACUCCAAGAAAUUGGGGCUAAUACCGGAUGUUCACCGCUUCCCGCAUGGGUGGUGGUGGAAAGGGUUUCCGGCUGGGGAUGGGCCCGCGGCCUAUCAGCUUGUUGGUGGGGUAGUGGCCUACCAAGGCGACGACGGGUAGCCGGCCUGAGAGGGUGACCGGCCACACUGGGACUGAGACACGGCCCAGACUCCUACGGGAGGCAGCAGUGGGGAAUAUUGCGCAAUGGGCGGAAGCCUGACGCAGCGACGCCGCGUGGGGGAUGACGGCCUUCGGGUUGUAAACCUCUUUCAGCAGGGACGAAGCGCAAGUGACGGUACCUGCAGAAGAAGCACCGGCCAACUACGUG
Molecule: ribosomal RNA, 463 nt
Filed under: uncultured bacterium
Lineage: Bacteria
Description: partial 16S ribosomal RNA
Rfam family: Bacterial small subunit ribosomal RNA
Source: RNAcentral